UAUGGAUAAUGAUAAUCGGGUUUGGAAUGGAUACGGUAGUUUAUGAUAAAUUUUAGUCAGGUUUGGGAUGAGUUCAAGUAAGGCUAUUUUCACGGGUACCUUACCUAUUACCAUCCCUAAAUAUAAUUACUAAAAUUAACAAUACAAAGGAUUUAACUUAAUAUGGAAGAUAUCAAGUCAAUAAACACUCAAAAUAGUAUUAUGUUGCUCAAUGCAAUGGUAUUGGUACAAUAUUAUAGUAUUAUGUUGCUCAAGUGCUUUAAUUUAGGCCUAAUUAUCAAA
This 282-nucleotide unclassified non-coding RNA is filed under the name Hevea brasiliensis (rubber tree). The record is from RNAcentral. Lineage: Eukaryota; Viridiplantae; Streptophyta; Magnoliopsida; Malpighiales; Euphorbiaceae.